CACAAAAGCUAAAUGAUCGAUAUUCAACAGAGUUAAUCUCUCAAGAGCAGGGCAGUUGCAGAUUAAACUUUCAAGUGUAUCACUUACUAUAAAGACUUGACUAAGCUUGAGGCUUUUAAGGCAAUCAAAUCCUUUGAAAAAAGCAGGAAGCUUGAAUAUACAGCCAAAGAGCUCCAAGCAGCUGAGCUUUGGACAACAGAAAACACAAGAAGGCAGCUUAAAACGUUUUAUAAAACUGAAAUCCUGGAUAAUUAACUCCUUAAUACCUUUCUUUGUUAAAAAAGCUAUCCAUUGAUCAAAAUCAGAAUGGUUUGGACAGCAAUAAGCAGCAAGCUUAAACUUCUCUAUUGGACCACUGUGACUGGAUUGAACCUUAUUAAUGAUUUUCAUAAUCUCCAUCCAUCUGGCUGCCUUGUCUACCAUAGAACUAUGGAUGCAUUUAUCAUCAAAAACAAACUGAGAAAGGCCAGUCCACUUAUAUCUCCAUUUACUUGACAAGACACUAGUCCUUGCAGCCUCUCUUAGCGGCAGGUGCACAAGGAUGAUAUCUAAUACAUCCCAUGGUAGAUUACUGAUCCUAUCUAUCUUUGUUUGGUUUUCCAUCUCAAUAGACUUUUGAUGUUUCCUUGUAUUGUUCAUAGGUUCUUUGGCUGGAUUAAAAACUCUGUUUUCAAUACAAUGCAGCAGAUUCUUCAGAGAGAGAACAUACCAACCCUGGAUAGAAGCUGGCGAUCGGAACGGCGAUCAUCAGCCGCUAGAGCUGGAGGAGCCGAGGAGUGUGUCUCUGACUGUUUGUGCUCGAGUGCGUGGACCCAAUCUGUAAAAAGGCUGGGGUUCUGGAUUUUGUUCAUUCAAUGCUUAAAAAAUAAUACAUAAAAUUGUAAUCUAUACACAAGCAGAAGGUAUUCAGCACAUGAUGCUCUUUUUUAUAUAAUUUUUACAUGUUUAAUAUGUAUGAUUUUUUUUAUUAUAUAUAAA
This 978-nucleotide unclassified non-coding RNA is filed under the name Hevea brasiliensis (rubber tree). The record is from RNAcentral. Lineage: Eukaryota; Viridiplantae; Streptophyta; Magnoliopsida; Malpighiales; Euphorbiaceae.